RNAcentral lists this ribosomal RNA (492 nucleotides) under uncultured bacterium. RNAcentral's name for it is "partial 16S ribosomal RNA". It matches the Rfam family "Bacterial small subunit ribosomal RNA", at positions 29 to 507 of the family's 1533-position model. The record is from RNAcentral.
AGUGAACGCUGGCGGUAGGCCUAACACAUGCAAGUCGAACGGCAGCACAGUAAGUGCUUGCUCGUACGGGGGGGGAGUCGCGGGCGGGUGAGGAAGACAUCGGAACCUACUUGUUCGAGAGGGAGGACGUAGGGAGACUAAUACUACUACCGCAUACGACCUAAAGGCGAAAGCACGGGAGCUUCGGACCUUGCGCGAUUGAAUGAGCCGAUGUCGGAUUAGCUAGUUGUCGGGGUAAAGGCACACCAAGGCGACGAUCAGUAGCUGGGCUGAGAGGACGACCAGUCAAACUGGGACUGAGACACGGCCCAGACUCCUACGGGAGGCAGCAGUGGGGAAUUUUGGACAAUGGGCGAAAGCCUGAUCCAGCAAUGCCGCGUGUGUGAAGAAGGCCUUCGGGUUGUAAAGCACUUUUGUCCGGAAAGAAAUCCUUGGCCCUAAUACGGUCGGGGGAUGACGGUACCGGAAGAAUAAGCACCGGCUAACUACGUG